Molecule: small RNA, 572 nt
Filed under: Pongo abelii (Sumatran orangutan)
Lineage: Eukaryota; Metazoa; Chordata; Mammalia; Primates; Hominidae
Description: retained intron
Source: RNAcentral
UUGGUAUUUUAAUAUUUUUGAGCCCUUUGGCAUUCAUCAGACUGUGUUUGACUAUAUUUUUCUAUACUUGCUUUUAAAAGUCAUUUAACAUCCUUUCACUGGGUUAUAAAUAGUAAUAUUAGUAGUCAUUAAUUAUAUAUGAUAGUGUGCUAAUUCAAUGAUUAUAUUUUUUUCUAAAUAGGGUUAUUGGGGCUGUGCCAUUGGCAAAGCCAGGCAAGCUGCAAAGACGGAAAUAGAGAAGCUUCAGAUGAAAGAAAUGACCUGCCGUGAUAUCGUUAAAGAAGUUGCAAAAAUGUAAGUUGAAAUUUUUCUUACCAUCCACAAAAAUAUUUCACUUGACCUUUGUAUAUAUAUAUUACAUUAAUCCUAAGAAGCUGUUUUCCUGUAAAAUAACUUAGUGAAUAAUUUUUAGAAGGUAAGUUUAACAUUGUAAGCGUCACGAAGGAAGAAAAUGUUUUUAAGCAACAUUUUUUAGUAGUAAUGAAUAGGAUGGGAAAAAUAGCUUGACAAAAUAAACUCCUGUUACAGGUUAAGGACAUACAAAAUACCACUAGAGUCUUAAUUUGUUAGCU